UGCGAUGUUAGUUAUAUAUUUCUACUGUAUUAUUGGUUAUGUUUUCCUUCUUUUCUCUGCUUCAAGAGUUGCUCUAAGAGUGGUUGAAAGACAACAAUGAAUAAUAUCAAAUGAAGCAGUGAUGGGAACCAAGUAUGAAAAGUCACACUAAUUUAUGAGCAUGUGCUAAAUUCUUAUGCCAGCAGGGUUGAGGACUGAUUGAGGACUUCUAAAGCAAGAGACAAUCACAAGAAAUAAACCUCCCAGUCACAUUAAUUUGUGGGCUAACAAGUUACAGGUGUCACUUCCAGGAAGGAUGAACCUUGGCAACUGAUGAGAUUGUUAACUAAGGGAGGAUCCAGACUGGGAGGGUAAGAAACUGCAGCGUUUGACAAUCCCAUGAGGAGUGUGUGGCGGGGGGGAAGGUAGCAGGGGGAAGAAGAGGGGUAGGUAGAAAAGGGCUGGUUGCAUGUAAAGCAGGUCCAGUCAGAUUGCUUCUUUAGCUGAGCCUUGUGCCUAUCUCUGCUGUCUGUCCUAUCUUCUAUCUCUUCGCAUUAAAUCUUUUAACUCUACGUAUUCACACUCUCUCCUGUGCAUAUGUGUACUUCAAGGACUGCUAGCUAUGGGCACUGGAGUGGUGUGUGUUCCCAAACCAGCUACUUGGGGGGACUGGCACAAGUGAGAUCUUACCACCUGUCCUUGAACCCAGCUGGACAAAUACUUUGCCUUGAGUGCAGUAGACAAAUCCCCAGAAACAGAGGGAGAAGCCUAGGACCCUGUCAGGAUAUUCCUUCCACCUUUUACAACCAAGCUAAUGACAAGUGUCUUCCGUUUUCACAAGGCUUCAUUAAGCAAGUACUGAAUGUUUCUUCUAAUGCCUGAAGCAUGGCCUGCACCUGGUCAUGCUGUGACCUGGACUACAGUGACCUAAGAGAAAUAUCUGAGGAAAACAGAUCUCAAAGUCAGGACACAAAAUUAUCUUCUUACCAAGUUUGCAUGGGGUGAUUACAUGAAUCUUUUGAAUGACUGCAUUUGCCAUCUGCUGCUAUUCACUUGCAAAGCAUUGUGCUUCUUCUUAGUAUUCCUCAAUGCAUGCAAGCAGUAGCCAGCUACCGUCAACCACAAGCAAGAAGGGCGUGAGGUAUUUCUCUAUAAAAGCAGCUCUAUUUUGUAAUAUGGCACCACCAUGUGAUUGUAAUGAGCAUUUAAUGUUGAAACUAGUAACAACAGUUUCCCAGUGUACAUAAAUAUUUUUAAUCCACCUGGAGCUUACUUGUCAGUAAGAGAUCCUUGUUUGUGCAGUUAGGCUGAUGAGAUUAUAUUAAUCAGUGGUCAUUAUGUUAUUAGCUUUUCUUUGGAAUAUUAUUUAUAGCAGUAUUCAAAUAGUUGCUAAUCUAAUUAAAGUUUCUGUUUGUGGUGGUUUUGUGGCCAGACCCAGUACACUGUUCAGUACGCCUUUAUGAAUGUCGAAACCUACAGUUUGCAGUAUCUGUGGUGAUCUGAAGGCUGAAUACAGCAAUGGAAGUCACUCUGUUCCCUUAACAAGACAUACAGUUGGUGGGGUUGGUUUAUUGAAGCACAGAUCAGCAUUCUGACUUUUCAGGAUAUAUUAGAAAGGAAUCAAACUUCAAGGCAUUAUAAGCAUGCAAAUAUUAGUUCCCUACUUCUUUUCAGAGUAUAAUUUUGUAAUAAAAACAAAUAAACAAAAAAUGCA
Molecule: long non-coding RNA, 1693 nt
Filed under: Anas platyrhynchos platyrhynchos (common mallard)
Lineage: Eukaryota; Metazoa; Chordata; Aves; Anseriformes; Anatidae
Description: lncRNA (ENSAPLG00000027931.1)
Source: RNAcentral